Molecule: ribosomal RNA, 253 nt
Filed under: uncultured bacterium
Lineage: Bacteria
Description: partial 16S ribosomal RNA
Rfam family: Bacterial small subunit ribosomal RNA
Source: RNAcentral
UACGAAGGGGGCUAGCGUUGCUCGGAAUCACUGGGCGUAAAGGGUGCGUAGGCGGGUCUUUAAGUCAGGGGUGAAAUCCUGGAGCUCAACUCCAGAACUGCCUUUGAUACUGAAGAUCUUGAGUUCGGGAGAGGUGAGUGGAAUUCCCAGUGUAGCGGUGAAAUGCGUAGAUAUUGGGAGGAACACCAGUGGCGAAGGCGGCUCACUGGACCGGUACUGACGCUGAUGCGCGAAAGCGUGGGGAGCAAACGGG